UAAAAACCCCGACUUCGGAAGGGGUGUAUUUAUUAGAUACAAAACCAAUGCCCUUCGGGGCUCUUUGGUGAUUCAUGAUAACUAUACGAAUCGCACGGCCUUGCGCCGGCGAUGGUUCAUUCAAAUUUCUUCCCUAUCAACUUUCGAUGUUUGGGUAUUGGCCAAACAUGGUUGCAACGGGUAGCGGAGGGUUAGGGCUCGACCCCGGAGAAGGAGCCUGAGAAACGGCUACUACAUCCAAGGAAGGCAGCAGGCGCGCAAAUUACCCAAUCCCGACUCGGGGAGGUAGUGACAAUAAAUACUGAUACAGGGCCCUUUCGGGCCUUGUAAUUGGAAUGAGUACAAUUUAAAUCCCUUAACGAGGAACAAUUGGAGGGCAAGUCUGGUGCCAGCAGCCGCGGUAAUUCCAGCUCCAAUAGCGUAUAUUAAAGUUGUUGUGGUUAAAAAGCUCGUAGUUGAACCUUGGGCCUGGCUGGCCGGUCCGCCUCACCGCGUGCACUGGUCCGGCCGGGCCUUUCCCUCUGUGGAACCCCAUACCCUUCACUGGGCGUGGCGGGGAAACAGGACAUUUACUUU
Molecule: ribosomal RNA, 576 nt
Filed under: uncultured eukaryote
Lineage: Eukaryota
Description: SSU rRNA
Rfam family: Eukaryotic small subunit ribosomal RNA
Source: RNAcentral